This 258-nucleotide long non-coding RNA is filed under the name Pan troglodytes (chimpanzee). Its description in RNAcentral is "long non-coding RNA NONPTRT003441". Lineage: Eukaryota; Metazoa; Chordata; Mammalia; Primates; Hominidae. The record is from RNAcentral.
AACAUGAAAAAAGCUCAACAUCACUGAUCAUUAGAGAAAUGCAAAUCAAAACCACAAUGAGAUACCAUCUCAUGUCAGCCAUAAUGGCAAUUAUUAAAAAGUCAAGAAAUAACAGAUACUGGUGAGGUUGCAGUGAAAUAAGAAUGCUUUUACACUGUUGGUGGGAAUGUAAAUUAGUUCAACCAUUGUGGAAGACAGUCUAACACAGAGAACAUUAAAAUCAUUUAGAAAGCAAUUCAUCAUGGUGGAGCAAGCCAC